UUGGUUCGAUCCGUGUGAAUCUGCUGCAUGUUAAAGAUGCAGAACAGAACGAGACGAGCGCAGCAGACGCACGUGAGAUUUAAGUGAACAUGAAAUCAACACAAAAUCUUCUUGCUUUCUUAAAACGCGUUUCUGCAUAAUUCAUCAGUGCACAUUACUCCAAGGAAAAUGAUGCAGAAGAAUCACCCGUCUCUUAUUUUUCAUCCGCCUGUCACAUAGAAACACCAUCAAAUCAAAUCCAUGCAAAUACAUCAGAUUAUUGUGUGUUUCACUCUAAAAUCAAAAUAAAUGUAUAUAUAUAAUAUUGUAUGUGUGCAUACAUAUACAUGCAUACAUACCUACAUGAAUAAAAUCUUUUCAGUGUAGUGAAUCAAUUUGAUAAUUUCAUUAAAAAACUACAAAUGUCUCGAGGAUGCCUGCUGGCUUUAAUUAAAAGGCGAGGCGGUGUUUUACAGAUGACGGACAGCUGAUGCAGCCAAUGAAAGACGCGCCGCCCAUUCGACGGCCAAUGACUGACCCGCGGGGGCGGGGCUAACGCGGCCGUUUUAUCCGCACAGUCUCUCGCCGAGCAGAAGGAUAUUCCCAAAAAUGACAUCCAGCAGCUUUCCAGAGGAAACCCGCGGCGUUUAGAGAAGUUUCCCUCCUCACAUUAUCACGGAUCACAGCGCGUUCUUCAGAGAUGUAGUCGGUAGACGCGUGAAAUGUGUAUUUAAUACAGAAGGACAGUGUUUCCACACAACCGUUAUUGACGCGCGUCCCCGAUCGCAAACUCCUGAUCCUUCAGCUCCGAACCGGACAUGUGUGACUUAAUGCCAGCGGCUCAACCGGCCGAGAAAAUCGGCAAAAUGAAGAAAUUAAGAAGAACUUUGUCGGAGAGCUUCAGUCGGAUCGCCUUCAAGAAAGAAGACAGCGGCUUUGACGAGGUGAGAGACACCGCAGUCGUUUGACUUUCAUGAUCCUCGAAUGUUGGAGGAUGCAGUGAAUAUAACUCGGUGGUGUCCGUCCCUGCAGCAGUGCAUGCUGGGAUGUGUGUGUCUCUGGGGUUGAAGUGUCAGCUGUGAUCAUGGCAGAGAUGCUUCAUGGUUCUCCGCUACGUCUUUGUGCCGAAGCAGGAAGACCAGAUAUCAUUUUAAUGCUCUUGAUGUGAAUUAAUUCACGUUACACUCUUACAGCCGUUACUCAGGGAUUAUUGAGAAUUCUUCCAGUAUUCCGCAGUAUUACUGUAAAAACAUUUGAAAUAUCGUUAUGCAAGUUUUCUGUGUUCUGAGAAGACAAACUUUAAAACCAGAUUGCUCAAAAAUAUAAUCAAAAGCAAAAUCAUUAUAUAUUCAGUCAGUCAUCGAAGCUUUGAUUUAGUGCACUACGAUAAACAUUUAAAAUAUAUAUUUAAAAUUAAAUAUAAUAAUAUUAAAUUUAUAUAAUAAAUUUAUAUAAUAUACAAUUUAUGUUUAAAAU
Molecule: long non-coding RNA, 1455 nt
Organism: Cyprinus carpio (common carp)
Lineage: Eukaryota; Metazoa; Chordata; Actinopteri; Cypriniformes; Cyprinidae
Source: Ensembl